GGAGAGGUGGCAGAGUGGUUGAAUGCGGCGGUCUUGAAAACCGCUUCGGGCCGAAAGCCCGACGGGGGUUCGAAUCCCUCCCUCUCCGCCA
This 91-nucleotide transfer RNA is filed under the name Limisphaera ngatamarikiensis. RNAcentral describes it as "tRNA-Ser". It matches the Rfam family "tRNA". From Rfam's summary of the family: Transfer RNA (tRNA) molecules are approximately 80 nucleotides in length. Their secondary structure includes four short double-helical elements and three loops (D, anti-codon, and T loops). The record is from RNAcentral. Lineage: Bacteria; Pseudomonadati; Verrucomicrobiota; Verrucomicrobiia; Limisphaerales; Limisphaeraceae.